CCCCCAGGGACCUAGUGCAGACGUGGAACCUGUUUCACACAACUGCGACCUGAAGGGAAAAAAGAAGCAAAUGAUACCAAGAAAAGCUCAUAACAGAGAUCUUUUCAACAGAAGUGUUCGGAUGAAAAUACAGUGAGAUGAGUCAGAAAGUAGCUAAGGAGGGCCCCAGACUCUCCAAGAACCAGAAGUUCUCCGAGCACUUCAGCAUACAUUGCUGCCCGCCAUUCACCUUCCUCAACUCCAAACGCGAGAUUGUGGAUCGCAAAUACAGCAUUUGUAAAAGUGGCUGCUUCUACCAGAAGAAAGAGGAGGACUGGAUCUGCUGUGCCUGCCAGAAGACCAGAAUGUACCCCUCUCUCCAUCUCUCCCAACCUUCCUUUAGUAACAAGUAGGAAAGCACAAUAGAAGAUAAAAGAACGUAGUAGAAUGUAGAGGGAUGUAACAUGGGCAAUGUUAGGUGGACAGAAGUUCAGAGCAAAGGAGAAGGCAUGGGGGCAGUGUUGUCUACGGGCUGGGGUCGAAAUGCACAGGCAGACACCUGAUGCACCAACAAGGUCAUGGAUUUCUGUCCUUGAGUGAGGGCAGCCAGACCCAGCCAAGCUCAAAGGGCAAGUGAGGAUACAAGAGCAACACCAGAGGAAGUCCUGCUCAAGGUGUAGGGCUGGGGUGAGAGGGAGUGCCAGGAGAAGUGGGGAAGCAUGCUCGAUUCAGCUGAGCUUUAGCUCAGAAAACCAUGCUCCUGGAAAGAGGAAGCUGGCCAAGUACUGUUCCAAGGCAGCGGGAGGGCGAAGCCAGAGCAUCCUGCUUCUUUACGUGGGGAGGCCAGUUCUCUGUGGAAGUGGCAAUACAAAGGCAGGGGAAUUGAACUACUCAGAACCUUCAGGGAGAAAUAUUUCCUGCCCAAAUUCAGGUGCUAAACAAACAACAAAAUGAGAACCUCUACUAUGAAGAGUUUCCAACCAUGAGAUAUCCGAGGACAUUACAUUCCUGGGAAUAAAGCCAGGGGUGCCAUGACAGACAACUAGAAAGAACAACUUAGUGGGCCAGCCCCACUCCAGUAAGACCCAAGGAGGAAACUUCAUAUUCCUUUAGACUGUUUUAGCUUUUGGCAAAGCCAGACCCCAUGCUCCAAGCUUGCUGGGUUCUAUCCUCCAUAUCAUCCAGAAGAUACACUGUUACUGCAGAAGGUGACACUGAGGAGAGAGCGCGGUGUAUAUUUAUUCAUGUAAAAAAAACCCUGGGUAUAAGCACAGCAAUGUUAAUAACUAGAAAUUACUGAAUUUUCUAUGUUGUCUGUUGUGGAAAUAAAGCCCUCUGGGGAUGGAUCAAAAAUAUCUGGAAAUUACUUGAAACUGGUGAAUAACUAAAUGGAAUGAUAACUAAAAUGUACUGUAAUCCAAUUGUAUUUUUUGUCCUUUAAGGGUUGUUUCCAGGGAGCACUAUGCAGUGAAUGUUACAAAAAUGACAUAAAACUCCAAAAGCUACUCUAUGUAAAUUUCUUGAGUGGGAAUUCUCAUGAUGUUUGGCAUAUUACUCUGAUAAUUGUAUAUGUCAAUUGGUUUUAUGUUCUGACAUUUUGACCGCUUUGGGGAAAAAUGAGGUGUAUACCCAGAGUUUUCCUGGCAAAUGCUUAAAAACUGGCCCUCUGGGUGGAAAAUCCUGAUUGAUGGUGUUUGCCAAUUUCCAUGGUGUAAAUACUACUUCCACUCUGGCUGACUGCAAGCUAUGAAUGUGCUAUCAUUGAGUGCAGAACUGGGAAAGGAUGUGCAAUGUGGACACUUGUGAGUCCAUACAAGCCACUGUAUAUACCCAGGAGCCUGUGUGAAACUACAGUUUUUUACUAAAAAUAUUGCCCCAUAAAUAUACAAAGGUACCAGUGGAAGAAAAAAUAUAAAGGGAAAAUAAAUUCAAAUUGGAAGUUCAAAUGGAGAAAAUAACAGGAUUUUUUCAACUUUGUCUAUAUGCUACAUUUUAUUAUUAUAUGUUUAAAAGAAAACAAAGUAUCUAUGUGUCAUCUCCAGUGUUCUGAACUCUUAGUUUCUUUGGUGUUCCCUGAGAUGGAGGCUAGGGUUUCUUUCCUUUCAGAUAUUGGUGCUAAGAUGAUGCUGUCCAAAGAAUUGAUGGGACCUGCUCACUGUGAAGCCAGUUUCAGGAUGGCUGAGCUGAGAGUGGUGACAGAAGAAAAGAUGAGGAGCCUUCUGAAUUUGGGGAGGCAACACUUAUAUUUAUAUGUGUGGUUUGGUAUGAUAAUAUAUUGCUUUAAAAGUUAAUGCUAAUGGAAACAAGAAAAAAGCAGUUGUUCAAAAAUUGAAAAAAAUGGAUUAAUAAACUCUUCUAUUAGAGCAAGGCAAGAGGAACUUAUUAAAACUGAGGUGAAUUAGAAAUAUCAAUAAGAAUCCACGGGCAUGUUUUUAAAGGAGGUUUAUUUGUUCCAUCCCUACAGUGAUUUAUGCCGUUGGAUAUUUUUGCUGCCAUCUGCCUAGUUCCAGUUGGAAUGUGGGACAAGCUUAUUUGUAGAAUUAGUGCUUAUGGUUUCUAAAACUAUUCUCCACUGCAAGGAACAAAUGUCCUUGGAAGAUAGUUGAUUCCAUAUUUCUGGGCAGGGGAGAAAAAAAACCAGGAUUCAUUUGUAAAUUCUAGACAUUGAAAGAAAGCAAGGUGGCAUAGGGUAUCAGAGAGUCAUAAAUCCAUAAUGAU
This 2697-nucleotide long non-coding RNA is filed under the name Sus scrofa (pig). RNAcentral describes it as "lncRNA (ENSSSCG00025020787.1)". Lineage: Eukaryota; Metazoa; Chordata; Mammalia; Artiodactyla; Suidae. The record is from RNAcentral.